UGUUUCGCACUCCAGCACAUAGCGGAAGUCGGUCACAACUCGAGACGCAAGCGCAUCAGCAGCGGCCGGCCGUCUUGACUUGACCGUCCGAUCGCCUUCCGUGUCUGCACACAGGCUGUAGGCAACGGCUGGUGGACGUGACGCGGAUGCGGGAACUGUGGUGAAAGCUGUAUCGUGAGAUACAGGGUAGCGGGGAUUCUUCUACGUAUGCCACGGCGCGAAUCCAGAUGUCCCAGAGAACCGUGGAUAGAUGAAGCCGUGGGGAUGGUGUUGGAGCCGCGUUGGUGGAGAACACGUGAGUAGCACUCGAUGCUCGGCGUGCGUGUGAUUGACAGCAUUCCAUCGAUGACCGGGGGACCAUGACCAAUGAGAGUCAUCGAUCGUAGCUUUCGGUACAGAAACGGGAACACGUCAAGCUGUCGUCGGCAACGCCCUGGGGUGACAUCCAUCGAUCGUGCGUACCAACGCACGGCGCCGCGUUACUGGAGGACCGAGACGGCCGCUGGUGAGGGACGAGGAGCUCAUGUAUUGAUGUGAUUCGUGAGCCUCCCAGUGUCGGUCGUGUGCCUUACGUGUGUCGUUCGUGGCCGGUGGCCGAGAAUGAGGUGCGCAGAACAGAAGGGGACAGGUUGGCUGCUGUAGGAGUAGAAGCCUUGAGGUUGCAAGAGGGAUUCGAC
RNAcentral lists this long non-coding RNA (677 nucleotides) under Toxoplasma gondii VEG. Lineage: Eukaryota; Apicomplexa; Conoidasida; Eucoccidiorida; Sarcocystidae. The record is from RNAcentral.